Loxodonta africana (African savanna elephant) is the source of this 83-nucleotide small nucleolar RNA. Lineage: Eukaryota; Metazoa; Chordata; Mammalia; Proboscidea; Elephantidae. The record is from Ensembl.
UGGACCAAUGAUGACUCCUAGGGUGGGGGUCGGGUCUGAAUCUGACACUGUGAUUAAUCCCUAUCUGGAACUCUGAGGCCCAC